GCCUACGGGGGGCAGCAGUAGGGAAUUUUCGUCAAUGGGCGCAAGCCUGAACGAGCAAUGCCGCGUGAGUGAGGAAGGUCUUCGGAUCGUAAAGCUCUGUUGCGGGGGAAAAAGGAAGCAGAAAGGAAAUGGUCUGCUUUUGAUGGUACCCCGCCAGAAAGUCACGGCUAACUACGUGCCAGCAGCCGCGGUAAUACGUAGGUGGCGAGCGUUAUCCGGAAUUACUGGGUGUAACGGGAGCGCAGGCGGGAAGC
Molecule: ribosomal RNA, 254 nt
Filed under: uncultured bacterium
Lineage: Bacteria
Description: partial 16S ribosomal RNA
Rfam family: Bacterial small subunit ribosomal RNA
Source: RNAcentral